UAGAGCGGCGGACGGGUGAGUAACACGUGGACAAUCUGCCCCCCGGCCCGGGAUAGCCCAGGGAAACCUGGAUUAAUACCGGAUGAGACGGGACCCGCGAUGGCGGGACCCGGGAAAGGCGCUGCGGCGCCGCCGGGGGAUGAGUCUGCGUCCCAUUAGCUAGACGGCGGGGUAACGGCCCACCGUGGCGACGAUGGGUAGCCGGCCUGAGAGGGUGGACGGCCACAUUGGAACUGAGACACGGUCCAGACUCCUACGGGAGGCAGCAGCUAAGAAUCUUCCGCAAUGGGCGAAAGCCUGACGGAGCGACGCCGCGUGAACGAAGAAGGCCGUGAGGUUGUAAAGUUCUUUUCGGGAGGGGGAACAACCGUGGCAGGGAAUGGCCGCGGGAUGACGUGAAUCCCGGAAUAAGCCCCGGCUAACUACGUGCCAGCAGCAGC
RNAcentral lists this ribosomal RNA (440 nucleotides) under uncultured bacterium. Its description in RNAcentral is "bacterial SSU rRNA". It matches the Rfam family "Bacterial small subunit ribosomal RNA", at positions 91 to 518 of the family's 1533-position model. The record is from RNAcentral.